This 392-nucleotide ribosomal RNA is filed under the name Pleuronema coronatum. RNAcentral's name for it is "partial small subunit ribosomal RNA". It matches the Rfam family "Eukaryotic small subunit ribosomal RNA", at positions 30 to 432 of the family's 1831-position model. Lineage: Eukaryota; Ciliophora; Oligohymenophorea; Pleuronematida; Pleuronematidae. The record is from RNAcentral.
GCUUGUCUCAAAGAUUAAGCCAUGCAUGUCUAAGUAUAAAUAUCUAUACUGUGAAACUGCGUAUGGCUCAUUAAAUCAGUUAUAGUUUAUUUGAUGAUACCCCACUACAUGGAUAACCGUAGUAAUUCUAGAGCUAAUACAUGCGUCAAAUCCCGACUUUUUGGAAGGGAUGUAUUUAUUAGACUUAAGCCAAUAUUCCUUGUGUCUAUUGCGAUGAUUCAUAAUAACUGAUCGAAUCUCAAAUUUGAGAUAAAUCAUUCAAGUUUCUGCCCUAUCAGCUUUCGAUGGUAGUGUAUUGGACUACCAUGGCAGUAACGGGUAACGAAGAAUUAGGGUUCGAUUUCGGAGAGGGAGCAUGAGAAACGGCUACCACAUCUAAGGAAGGCAGCAGG